Molecule: ribosomal RNA, 583 nt
Filed under: uncultured bacterium
Lineage: Bacteria
Description: partial 16S ribosomal RNA
Rfam family: Bacterial small subunit ribosomal RNA
Source: RNAcentral
UGGGGAAUUUUGGACAAUGGGCGAAAGCCUGAUCCAGCAAUGCCGCGUGUGUGAAGAAGGCCUUCGGGUUGUAAAGCACUUUUGUCCGGAAAGAAAUCCUUGGCUCUAAUACAGUCGGGGGAUGACGGUACCGGAAGAAUAAGCACCGGCUAACUACGUGCCAGCAGCCGCGGUAAUACGUAGGGUGCAAGCGUUAAUCGGAAUUACUGGGCGUAAAGCGUGCGCAGGCGGUUUGCUAAGACCGAUGUGAAAUCCCCGGGCUCAACCUGGGAACUGCAUUGGUGACUGGCAGGCUAGAGUAUGGCAGAGGGGGGUAGAAUUCCACGUGUAGCAGUGAAAUGCGUAGAGAUGUGGAGGAAUACCGAUGGCGAAGGCAGCCCCUGGGCCAAUACUGACGCUCAUGCACGAAAGCGUGGGGAGCAAACAGGAUUAGAUACCCUGGUAGUCCACGCCCUAAACGAUGUCAACUAGUUGUUGGGGAUUCAUUCCUUAGUAACGUAGCUAACGCGUGAAGUUGACCGCCUGGGGAGUACGGUCGCAAGAUUAAAACUUAAAGGAAUUGACGGGGUCAUAGCUGUUUCCU